CCAGUAAAAAAACCCCUUUUAGCCGCGUGACGAAGGUGCCGACGCAUCCAAUCAGUGCGCAGUCCAUUUAGGAGGAAUAACAAAUCCAGCCAAUCAGAAGGAGGUCAGAUUGACUUGGACACGCAGAGGAUGGAAACGGGGGGGAGAUGAACAGUGAAGAUGGACCGAAAAGGUGCGAAAGAAAAGGUAAAUUCACACACUUACAAACACUGACAAGUAGACUCUGAGGAGAGGCAGCAACAAGAACAUCACAAGACUUAAUAUAAAUAUGAAUAACAUAAAAGGGUACUGAUCGUUCGUGAGUAUCUUCUUUGAUGGGUUGCAUUAAUACAUGUUUUAAAUUGGGCUAACCUCAUUGAUGGCGUAGGCUAUAAUAUUUAUAAAAAGACUCAUAUGCACUUUCAUCCUAAUAAAACUGGUUGAUCCGCAUUUUUAUUACUUUCCAGUAAAGAAAAGCUGUACAUUUUUUUUAAAAGCUCGCUGCAUAGCAACAUACUCUGAGCUGCAUUCAUCUCACGUCUGACUUUAAUUAGUUGACAUUCAAUAACUACUUAGUUUACCGAGGGUGACUCCAACCUCUGGGAAAUAUCAAGGCCUAAUAGCUGCGUGGUGGCGCCAUCGUCUGUCACUUAAAGAAAUCGCAGCAAGGCCUGCUGUCGUUUACAACCUCAUUAAGCCUCAGGUCAUUGGUUUCAACACCUAUUAAGGCUAAUCUGCAAGACCUCGAUUUGGCUGAGAUGCUUUAGUUCAUUCAUCCUUAUACAGCUUAGUUUUUUCCUCAAAGACAAGAUAAAGUAAAAGAGGUUGCAACACCAUUUGAUAAAAGCAAAGUGGUGCUGACAUGCUUUCUAGUGUUUUAUUGACAAAGAAGCAAAUUCCUCCUUCUUUAUACUCAGUUCUAAAGGUCGCCUGUGAAGCAAUCAGUGGCAUUUAGUUAAAUGGAAAAUAAUGUUAAUGAAUUUGUGUAUAACCAGCUGAGUAUGAAAAUUGUUUUGUAAUUAUGAGAUUGGACUUUUUGUAUAGGAGUGAGUCUUCUGCCGCAAAGGCAGUCAUGUUUCGACAGUAGCAUAGAUUGACAAACAAAUGUGUUUUUGUAAUUGAUUGAAAUGCACUGGUUUGGACACUAUAAACACAGUUAGUCCAUCAAAGUUACGAUUUAUUUUUUCAUUUAAAUUGGAAGUCAGUGCAGUUGUUAGGAUAAGUCAUUAUUACAUGUCAUCAUAACUAAUGUAAAGUGUUCCAACUAAACAUAAAUGAAUUAAAUUUAGAAAUUGGAGGAGAAAGGAUAUGCCUAACAAUAAUAAUGACGACCCAAAUAUGAAUAUAUUGAGCAUCAUAGCUCAAUAAGGCCAUUUACCUGGACUAAUGUCCUUAUCCCAGUUUUAAUGCACUGGGCAAAAUUACUAGCAGUGGCAUGCCCCCACUCCAGUAGGUAGCAACAUGCCUUUUUCAGCUCGGCUUAUCACUUGGCUGAUCUAUUACUUAUCAAAAAUUGACAAAACACUUUAUCAGCAUUCAGCGAAUAAUGAAGACACUUUUGCAGCUCAGUACAAUUUGUAGGAUAGGAAAGUUUCGUCUUUUUUACAUUCAUAAUUGGUCUUUUGGGAUUUUGUUUACCCUCUGGCUUCGUAGCAACAGGUCUAUGGUAAUCACCUUUUAGUUGAAAGCUGAAAGCCUGUUGUGCAAACCCUGAAGCAUGCGCAGAACGCCAAGGCUAGUUUCAGUUCGAUUGAGCCGAAUACAUGCAAGCAAAAAUUGAUGUUCAACCGAGUUAUCCAGGUACUAUGUUAACUAUUGAGAAGUUCGAUUUAUGUGAUUUCAGUCAGGCUCAUGUGUUAACAUGUUUUUCAAAAGUCCAGUUUCAGUCAGGCUUAGGCAAUGAGCUGAUCUUUUGAACAACAUGUUUGAACAAUUCAAAUGUAGCUAAGUAGUGUUUAGCAAACAAGCUCAAGUUAACUCCAAUUCCAAUAAGAUUUUAGACAGCCAGGACACCAACUUUUUUUAGCUUUAAAAAUUGUUAAGUUCUUUACUGUAGUUCUUUACUUAACAGGAGAAAGGAAAGGGAAGUGGUUGGUUGUGUUGUUGGUAGGUUGGUGGUGUGCAAAACGUGUAGGAUCAUCACAGGACCUUUUUGUCCUUAUAGGCCACCAUCCCUGCAGAGAUGGAAGGGGUGAGCAAGGAAGCAUUUUUAAUUUAGAACCUGACCAUCACAUGACAGGAAAUAUUCCCAUUUCUACACAUCAUUACUUUAAAAAACUACAAGCUGCCACAUCAGUUGUUUGUUGGAAAACAAGUGACGUCUUUGGUUAAACUAAAAAAAGUGUUUCUAUUGGAGAAAAGUUUACUCAGAGAAGUUUUGUUUGAGGUUGGUGCAGUGGUUUUACAUGACAAAACAGCUUCAUUAUAAGAUGCCCCCGGCUUCAUUAGAAAGACAUCAGAUGUAUAAAGAUGAUCUUUUUCUUGACUUUAAUUGUUUAAUUAUUCUCGCAGCUCCAAAGAGAUUUUGCUGCAUCAAGCUGAUUUCCCUUUGGCAAAGCCGAUGCUACUCCACCUUGGUUUGAGCCACGUUCUCCUGACACACUCAUCAAGAAUCACACUCACAAGAACAAAAAAACCCACAGAAGAUGGCAAAGAAUAUCUUUUCCACCAAGGAAUGAUUAAUUGAUAUAAAUGAUUAAAACAGAGGGAAAUUAUGAAAUGGAUUUGAAAAGGGGCCUCAUAGGAAAAGCUUUGUUUGUUCCAGGCCUAUUUUAAUGAGCUUUUCAUAACUGGGCAAGAGAAAUUACUCUGCCCGUUUCUUUUUCUGGAGCUCUUUUUUUGCAAAAAUAAUUAUGGCUAGCUGAAGUGAGGAGAAGAAAGAGGAGGGGUGGAGGGGUCAGGGAGUUGUGAGGGGGAAAUUUCCCCUCAGAAAUUGAUCAUCUCCUUUCUCCACAGAGAUCCUUAAGUCCUGUGGCAGUUUCCAAGCAGCAGCAUUAUGAAGUGGACCAGAAAUAAGAAAAAAAAAAACACAAACAAUAUGGCAGAACACUAUUUCAAUGUUUAAAGAGGGACAAGAGAGCGUCAGAUGUGGCUCGCAGUGUUGAUACUCCCCACAGGGGUGAUCUCACCAAGAUGAAAAGGAGACCACAGUGCUCCAUAAUGAAUCUGCUUGUCCUGUGGGAAAACGCAAGAGAGCCACAUUCAACACGGUGGUUAACUUCAGAUUGGGAUUCACUCUGUGUUAUUUUCUAUUAACAUGACAUUGAGCCACAAAGAGGCCCGGCUUCAAUCUGAAAGUUUACACACCGGAGGCAAUCUUCUAACCAAACAACACGCAGGUCAUCAUAACUUUCUCUCACACUCAUCUCAGCGGAUUGUUUACCACAGCAAAGUGUGGCCUUGUUGUCUGUUUGUCAUGUAGCAUUGCUCUCGCUGUCCUGCGCGCGCGUGCUUGCGUGCGUGUGUGUGCUGUCUUUUAGAGAGAAUGAUAUUCACUUAGCUGAGCCGACUGAUGAGGCAAGAUUAGAGUUCAGAUUAUCUGCAGAUACAGAAGACCCACUCCAUGACUGAAUGCCGUGUGAUGGACUCGGCGGAAAGAUCUCUAAAUGAAAUCUUUUAAGUAACUGGCUACUUACUUAAAAAAAAAAAAAAACAAAGGAAGUUGCAUUCAGACAUUUUGGAAAUACACUGUUUCUUUAUGUUGCCUGGAGCUGAAUUAGAUGAACAGUACAUGAUGGAAAAGGGAUUUAGAUAUUAAGCUGAAACCGGUUUGUUAACUCAGUUUAGCACUAAGCGACAAGAAGAAGACAGAGAGGUAGUUUGUUGUCUGUUUUAUGUCCACUCUUCAGGGUACUGUUGUCAGGACAUGCUAAACCUAGCUUAGCAGAAGGACUGGAGACAUGAGGAAACAAUUAGCUUGGUUAUAUCCCAAGGGCAAAGCCACCUUCAAAGAAUUUAAGGGCCUGUGUCCAUAAACACUCAGUACAUUUACAUUGUCUUAAAAAAAUGCAAUAGUUUAACUGAAUCAGGACUUUGCAAUGCAUGUAAAACACAGGGCUGGCUGAAAUUGUACAAAAAUCAAACUAAUCAUAGUCAGAGUAGAUUGAAUUUCCUUGUCAUAGAGCUCAGUUGAACUGAAACUGACCUGAGCGUUCUGCACAUGCCCCAUUUUUCCUACGCCAGGCUCCGAGCUGUGGUUGAACAGCAUGGACGAGUUGCUAGGAAGCCAGGUAGUAAACAAAACCUUGACAUACAAAGAAAAAAACAAAGAAAAACAAAAACUUGCAAAAUGCCAGAACAAUAAAAAAAUGUUUUCAUGACAGUCGAAAUAGAUCCCCUGGACACCAGCAGAGUAUGUUUGAGUCAUGUAAUUAGCUAAUGAAAAUGUAACAUUGCGCUAAUGUAUUCAGUACACACUUAUUUAUUCUAUCACUAUGGUCACUUGUUAUCGGUAGCCCGUCUUUUUAUUCCCUCAAUCACAAACAACUCGUUAGCAAGACCUUUAGCUUCUUCUUCGGUUCAAAUAGGGGUUGGUAAACAAUGAAAAUGGUGCAUUACCGCCACCAACUGGUAAGGAGUGUGGAUCAGGAUAAACUAUCUACAAUCUGCGAGAAAGGAUUUUAAAGAAAUAACAGAGAAUAACAAAACACUUUUUUAGGGUAGUAUUUUUCUGUGCUUAAGAUCACAGUUAAAUUGCUAACAUAAGGUGGUGUUCAGAUCCAAAAAGGAUGCUGUAAACUCAUUAUUGAUAAGGGUAAUAUUAAUAUCUGUGCAAACUGUCUGCAGUAGAGCAGAUUAGCUUUCAACUUGAUCAAAUGUCGCUGUAUUUAUAUAAAACUCUGAUGGUUGGUUUUAAUUUAAAAGGGAGGGAAAAGUUUUUUCAAUUCCAUACAUGGAAACAUUAAUACACCCCAGUUCAUAGUCAUGGAAGAAUACACUUCUGUGAUUUGUAGCUGCAAAAAGCAAAGUCAGACUGACCAAAACAGUGUAAUCACACUCCUCAAUCUGAGCUCAUUGCAGCUUUGUGUUGCAGCAUAUGUUCCCUGUGCUGUUCCACUUUCCCAUGUGUUUCCAGCCCGACUUGGGUCAGGAAACAAUAAAACAGUCAGAAGUGUUUCUGCUCAAUAUUCCCUCUUUCUCUCUCUCUCUCUCUCUCUCUCUCUCUCUCUCUCUCUCUCUCUCUCGAAAUAUGCCUCACUUCAUUUAUUUGGUGGCAUUGAUCAUGUCUGCCUAUUGUUUGUAAUUAAGCAAAGAACAAGUGAGGUUGAGUAAAUAGCAAUCAACGACUCAAUAAAUACACCCUGUAUGUCGCAGGGUUUCUAUAAGGACUGCGCUGAUAGCUUUUGAUUUUAUCAGCUGCAGGCAGAGCAACGACUCUGAGAAACAUGUCAGCACUGAAACCCUGCUCAGAUGAUCAAGAGAUUAAAAAAAGAAACCCAAACAUACUGUAUCUUACACUUUCUUUGAUACAUGUGGAGGAGUUCAGGGAUCUCUGCAUUUGAGGUAUUACAUAUUCUGUAGAGCAAAUUAGUAUAUACCUGGUGUAAGCCUUAAAAGUAUUGUGUAACAUCUUUAAAUACUCUUUGUUAUAUGUAAUUGUCAAGGGUUCCUAAACUGUGAACCAGCUUGUUAUUGUCUUAACAGGUUGCCUCUGAUAGGGAGCAAUUUUGGGGGGCUUCUGGUCUAGCCAGUAGUUAAGGAUCAAUGGGCCUAGGCAGCCUUUUCUUUGUACUUGUCAUCAUGAGCAGACGAAGUAGCAAUCAUGAGAUGUCGUGAUAAAUAGAAGGCUAAAUAGAUCUUGAGCACCUACAGUAAAUAUUCCUUCAGCUCUUAGGACCAUUUUAGAAUCUUUCAGCUCACUGUUUUGGUCUCACAACAUGCAACGCAACCAAUAGAGUUGAUCCCUCUUAUCAGUACCUUUUGCAACAGCAGGCAGUUGUUUAAGCCAGAAAAGGACUAGAUUUUUUUUAAAGAGUACAAUCACAACUCCAAAUCAUUUAGGUCUGCGUCUCCUGGCUGUGUAAGGAGGCAGCUGCUCUCUGUGUCAAAGGAAACAGCAACAUUUAAACAGGUUUUACUUCAUGUUUUUCUGCAACGACGUCUCAGUAGCAGUUUUUUUUUUUUACAAUUGUUUAAAAACAAUGAAUUCUGAUUCUUAAAAUUGCAUGUUUAGUUUUACUAUUUUUCAUUUCAAGACAAAUCUUAAGACCAAAUAAAUAAUGCAAAGCAGUUAUCAAUGGUAUGGGUAAUUUAGAUUACCCACUGAUAUCAUGAUCCCUUGUGAAACUCAAAGCGAACUUAAAAGAGUUUAACUUUGGUUCCUCUGAGUGUUUCAAUCAAGUCUUGUAUGCAAGAAACUACUGUUGGAUUCAGUGUUAAGGCAAAAGGCUUGACACAAAAUGCCAUCCUUACUCAUACCACCCUGCACUUCCCUCCACAUAAGAAAGGCUGUCCAUGGCAAAUUAUGUUCAGAUCCUGUUUGUAAACUUUCAAUUUAAUCAUUCUAUCUUUUACUAUUUAAGGUCCAUUUAAAGUUGUAGCACUGCCACUAAAAAGCUUUCUACUUACGUAUGUUACUAUUUUACAGAAGCCAAGAAGGGCCAUGGAUUUUUAUUAUUUUAUGCACUGUUAUCUUGUGAUAACGACUUAUUUAAUUAUCUCGAUAUAAUGUUUCAUUUUCUCGACUUAUUUUUGUUUUCUCCAUAUAACAAAGUUGGUUUUCUCAUGAUAAUGGAAAUGGCGUUUUAGCCGAACUCAGUGGUAACUUUUUAAAAAUGCCCUCCAGAUUAGCAUAUUUUUUAAAUGCAGCAGCCACUGUUGUCAACAGCAAGUCAGGGUUUUCAAUGAAAAAGGUGAUGGCAUGCUCCAUUUUGCGCAUUACACUUUUAACUAUUCGCAACAGUUAAAUGUUCCCACAUUCCCAAAUCCAGGGUUGUUCUCAAUUCUUUUUAAAACUUCUGUUGUUAUUCUGUGUUAGCCCCGAAACACUGGGACUAAGUCCCUCUCAUGUAUAAAGCUACUUUGCAAUAAACCUGAUUCUGAUUCUUAUGAUGAUCCUUCCACAGUGUUGACUGGUCUGAGGUUGGAUGCCACCCAUUUAGUAAGUACUGUGGCUAACAUCUUUGAUUUAGUUUCACCCUCCUCCUGUGUUAGGGUUGGCACCGACCCGUUUUUGGUUUUCAAUGCAUAAAAGAUCUACAUAAAUUGUUUUUUUGGCAUCAAGACUUUGUCAGGAACCUCUUUUUUAACAAAUUUUAAAUAAUAAUUUACUAAAUUAUAAAAUGCUCCGGUUGAAAUUAUGGCCAAUAUGGCCAGUUGCGUGUUGACAUCAGUGCACCUACAUGCUUAGGGAUUAUAAAUCUGACAAAGUAAAUCAGCAAAAACAAUUCAAUAAACAUCCUGAUUUAAUAUAAUGACAUCAUAAAAGUCAUUCUCAUGAUUUUAUCACAGCUUUCAAGAAAUGAUUAAGCUGAUUAAAAUUUGUAUGAUGUACAAAAGCUUUGCAAAUCAUAGCCUUGGCAAUUCAUUAGGAACAAAAUGUUCUGCAGUGCUGAGUGUUUCUCUGCUUUAAGUAUCCUUUUCCUUUGUUGCAGCAGACUUAAAAGGUGGUCAAAUUAAAGUCAUUUAAAAAUCUACAGGGAAAUAAAUUAGGAGUUGCAGUGUUGCAGUCCCAAAACUGAAGGGAUUAUAAAUCUGACAUACCACCACAGUGUGAAACAGGAUAUGCUGCUUUCAUGUGGGUAUUUCAGAGCUGUUUACUGCUGAGAUAUGAGUGAAGUGAGAAGGUCUUCAUUCUAGCUAGAAAGAUUUUCAUAUCAGUAAGAAAUAAGCCCAGGGUGACGCUUUCAUGUGGGUAUUUCAGAGCUGUUUACUGCUGAGAUAUGAGUGAAGUGAGAAGGUCUUCAUUCUAGCUAGAAAGAUUUUCAUAUCAGUAAGAAAUAAGCCCAGGGUGACUGUGUAUUAAUAUCAUAAUUUUAUUCUAUAGUUAUGUUUAUUUAUGUUUAUGUUGACUAGCCUUAUUCUAUAAUUGAAAUGUAGCUUUAAAACCAGAAAGGUUUUCUUGUUUAAUAUUAUUCAAACAAGAAAAAGCUGAUGAACCCAUAAUUAACUAAUUUUAAGCUCUUGUCUGCAGGAUUGGGGCUUAAAAAGCAAACAUCCCCUGUAAGGCUACAUAUGUAAUCUCUACAUUUUUAUAUGAAUACAUUGGAUUCUGCAUGUUUUUGGUGAAUCAGGGUGCAUAUUUUCAAACACAACUGAAGCCCUUGACGGUAAUGAAUGUGCACAACAAAGCCAGAAAACUUCUCAGCGAUGGAAAAAAGGGAGAUGUGAAAUGAUGGAAUUCAGAAAGUAAAUGACAGAGAAGCGAAAGCAGCCUCUCCUUUAAGUGCUUUGAUCGUUGGAUAAUUGCUUCUGCACACUAUUUGAGACUCUCUGCAUGCGCACACGUACAAACACAAACAGAACACCAUGUGCCGCCUCUAACAACAUUGCUUUAAUGAAAUGUCGUGAAUCCUUAAUGAGUCUCAAUGUCUUGUGAUAAAUUUCAUAAUUAUUCAACCCCACACAACCGGAGAGGGAAAUUCAUCAGUCAAAGCAAAUUAGUUGGGAUCCAUUAGGGUUCAGUGUCUUGUAGGGACAUUCACUUUAUUAGCUCCUUACACCCAUUGCCAUAAUUGGGAGCAUAUUUCAUUUGGCUGUAACCCCACUUUACUGAAUGACUGCUCUUUCCUUUUUUUAUUUACAGCAAUGUGCUAUGUGUUCAUAUAUUUUGUCUGGCUGCUAAACAGUAGAGCAAUCGCUUUAGAUUGAUGUGUGAUUUUUCUUCUGUAUGGUUUAAAUUAUUCUGGAUAGAGAUUUCCACCUCCACUUUAAAAAGUAGGUUGGGAAACACCAGAUGAGGAACAAUGUUACAGCACACAGAAACAGCUUAAUUCCACCUGUUUUGCCAAUCUGUUUUUGCUGGGAAGUUCUUGGUCUUGUGACUCCGGUUUUUCUGUGGUUCUGCAAACUGGAACCAAACCAAAUCAGAGCACAAGACGGACUAAAUACUAAAUACAGUACAAAUACAAUAUUAAAUUCAGAUCUGGUGUAAUUCUGGCAUAAGGCAUGCAUGAUCCGAAAAAAGAUAUCACAACACAAAUGCAUUACAAUAAUCAAUACUUUGGGCACUAAACCAUGCAAGAAAACACAGUCUCAAAAUCAGUUCUGCAGUUUCCAGGUAUUGUUGUAGCAGUGUGCCGAGUUGUGUGCAUGUUUACAUUCUACGGUAUUGUAACAGAGAUACAGACACUGCAUACACAGUGGUCAGUUUCUUUAUGAGAGGCUGCAAUAAAGUGAUUCCAGUUAGAUGUUUAUCAUAGAUUAAUUCUGGGCAAUGUGAACAUGGUCACUGCAUGUUGUAUUUCAGGUCAUUGCUCGUCCUGUGAUGUGACAGUUGCUCAGAUGUCACUGCAACUGUGUGUUGAUAUGAACCAUUCUUAUACAUCUGUAUUGUGACGUUGUUAUCAUUUGUCACAAAGCUGAUAUCUUAUCCUGUCAGAAAUGGUCAUUUUCCUUUGCCCUCAUAGAUUUUGUUUUCUAUAGGGAGCCUCAAAUUGAAGGAGUCAUACUGCCUGCUUUUAUAAUAAAAUUCCCGUGAGGAACUGACAAAAUUGUACUUCUCAUGUUUUUGCUGAUCACACGUGGAAGUUGUGAUUUCUGAUGAGCCUGCUUUUAUUUAUCAAAAUUUUGGGUGGACCGCAGAAUGUUUUCCGAUGCUUUGGUUUUUCGAGGGGCUGAUUUUACAUUUUGAAUGACAGAAGUGGUAAGAAGCCUGAAUAACUGCCCCCUUUAAUGCAGAUAAAACAAGGUGAUGAUGAGAGAUGGUUUUGUCACUCUGUGAGGAAGCCUUGGUCUGAGCAUGCUGCUCCUUGUUGAUCAGUUGCACACGGUGGAGAGGGUAAUUUCUGUAGGAUGACUGAUGAUGGCUUAAACUCACAGAUGCCUCUCUUGUUUGUCUUGGGGCUGCCUCAGGGUUCGUCUUACCCUCACUCCUCUCCCUCUUGUUCUGACAACCUGCAGACAUCUCAGAUGAGCGGCAUUCUUCCCACAGAGACACCAAGUCUCAGACCUGGAAGCAUGAACAGGAAAGCCUGUCUGUUCAAAGUCAAGGCCAUGAGACACUGAUGGCAGAGAGUGGAGAAGAUUAAGCAAAAGUCAAUUGAACUUGGUGAUCAGUGAAGAUUUUGUGGAAAACCUUUUGUAUUCUCUUAAUUCACCUUUACUUUGAAGAGUAGUGACUUGCAUUAAUUAGCAUCACAUAAGGUUUAAGCUCUACUGCACGUCUGACCAUAUUUAGUUCUAUGUUGUGCAGUCGACCAACCAUAUUUUUUGACUUGACAAGAAUUUCAUCAGAUCACUCAUGAGCAGUUGAUAGGGCCGUGGUUGGCCCUCAUGACCCUCGGUACCCAUAAUGCAUGUCAAAGGAUGCACGAUCAGUCUUCAAGUCAGCCUGACUUCCAAAGCAGUUGUGUGUAAUAAUAAUUGGGUCAGAAUUGGCUUUAAAUUGCACUGUGUAUGCCCUGCUUAAUGGAUAAGACAACUUUGGCGUGUUCUGAAACACCUAGAAGAGCCUGGAUUUUGUAGUAACUCUUACACAAAUAGUUAAAAACCCCAUUUCCCCUCAUUUAAAUGUGGUGCACACCUGCUACCAAGGACUUAUCACUAAGAGGAAUUGUGAAUAAAAUGGUAUAGGAACACAAAUCAUCUAAGUUAGAUAAGAUUUUAUGAAGAAAAUUGGGUUAUGUAGACUGUAAAGUCCUAGUCGACUGGUCAACUUAUUGGUUGAUACAUGCUGAGUCGACCAAAAUUCUGACCGGACAACUCGAUUUUUUUUCCACGUCAGUUUUCAGUCUAUGGUUAAUUUCAUCAGGAGGAACGUACCAAGUGCUAAUGGGGGUGUUUUCAGAGCACCCUCUUUCAGAGGUAACAGCCUGUCUCAGAACACCACCCUUGUUUUCACCAUUUUGGAUUCAACUAACCCACUGAAGACCAACUGGAGACAGGAAGAUUGAAGAGUGUCUACGUUAAUCAACAUCAGGUGGUUUGCUAGUUGUAAUACUUGUGUUUAUUGCCCUCUCAUGCUGAUAUCAGUAUAUUUUUACCCCGCCGAGCCGUGCACCACCGAGCCACGUUGUCCCCCACCGCAGAAGGCUUUGCCAUCAGAGUCGGAACACCCCACCCCCACCCCUGUUAGUCGAUUUUUGGUCGAAAAUGUCAGGGUUGGCGUUUGGGUAGGGUUGAUAAUCAGCCAUAGCAGACUGAGCUGUUUAUCAGUAGUGUAGGUAGGUUUCACUGAAGUCGAUUUAAGCUAAGGGGUUGUAGAUGACAGCUCUUUGUGACAGCCUUUAUAGUUUAUUUGUUUAUUGUAUGGUCACAUACGGAGAUGAGAGUCACGUGGUGGAGGUGGUACAUCAGCACUGGUAGUAGUGAAGUCAGCUGAUCACCUGGUGGGUUUUGUGAGUGAAUGGAGAAGGGCUUAACGGAGAAGUCCUAAAUUUUGCUGACUGCUUAUGUUUUGCUGCAUAUUGAAUGACUGCCUUUUCCCACAUAGGUGCUUCAUUUCUUAUCAUCGAUUAAACUUCAAAAGGAGCAACAGCCUAUUCACUGACGCUUCUACAGCCAUUGUGUUGGGCAAAGUUAUACUUUCCCCUACUCAGCCUCUUGGCGACUAAGUUGUUUAGGACAGUCGCCUUUUGGGGUAAACUCCCUUAGAGUUCAUUGAAGCAUUUUUAGCUAUCAGGGGACUCUGAAUUUUCCCUGGCAGCAGAAAGCCUUUCACUGAAGCCUUGCUGUAGUGUCUUACUUUCUCAUCUCAUUCUGUCCACAUCAUGACCAUGUUUGUCCAAAAAGCCUGUGCUGUGGAGCUGACCUGAUUGGAAGGUAAUAAAAAAUCUAAGUUGAACAAAGGAAAGAAAUAAGCUACAUUCAACCACACCCGCGCACACACACCCGCACACACACAGAAAAUAGCACCCUUAUCAUCCCUGUUUCAUUUAGAGUUGAUUGCUGUCGGAUUAUAAUGCAAUCACCACGCUGUGUGAGCCGUAACUAUGGGAACUGGUUUUAACUGUUUAUCUUGCCAGAGAUCUUAAUUUAAGUUUGAACACUCUGGAUCACUUAGAUGUGAGAGACAUGGGAAAUUGACAAAAAGGGGGUGACAACAAAGAGAAGGGAGGGAAUGGGAGCUGUGGAAGAAAAUGGAGAAACAGACACUUUCUUGUUCUUUCUGUUGUAUUUCAUAUGCAAUUUAAUUUGUCUUUCAGAGAAAAUCAAUUUAUGAUGACAAUCCUGAGGGCAGUAAUGAAAGAAGCCCAGUUCCUUUGCCAUGGGAAAGUUUCUGCUGGAGAAUGCCACUAAUCUUGGCAAAAUGAAUCAUUCACACUUUAUUUGGACAUCUGUGUUAACACACACACACACUCUCUCUCUCUCUCUCUCUCUCUCUCUCUCUCUCUCUCUCUCUCUCUCUGUCUCACUCACACACACCUCCCCUCGACUUUCAUUCAUUUGUGACAGUUUUAUUACAAGUUGCGCAGGUGGCUGGAGGCUCAGGAGCCAGGAAGAAUGCCUCAUGGAGAUGAUCCAAACUGUUGAGGAGUUGUUGAGUUUUUAAAGAUGUUUCCUCUGGCUGUAAUACACUUUAGGACACUCCAUACUAACAAACUACAAGACUCUAAAAAGGCACACUGGACAAAGCCUCCCACUACGCUGCAGCCUGCUCUCCAAAGAUGUUGACUUUAACGUGUGAACAAACCCAGAUUAUAGGCUUUUAGGCCAUGACUCUGUGUAAGCCUGAACUAACUCCAUCCUAAAUACAGGAAAUUGCACACGAUGCCACAGUAUCCUUAGUGUAGUUUGGGACUCACAGCAAGCAGCUUUAUCGCCUUUGUGGUAUUUCAAGAAUUUCCUCAUAACAACUAGAGACUCUUAUUUUGAAAUUGGCAACAAAAAGUGAUAGUAAAGAUUGUCUGCUUGUCUUUUUCAGUAAUUUAGGGCAAAAGUUUCAUACUUGCUCAUGUAAAAUUUGUGUUUUCUGUAUUAAAGGUACAAUAAAGCUCCAGUGAAGAGUUUUUAGCUGGUUGUGAAACAGAUUAAAACUAAUAUUGACAUCUCUGUUUGAGCUGCAAAAGCAAAAAAAGACCAUGGGCAUCUCAUCAUUUUCUCUCCAUUGUUAUGUUUAAUGUUUGUAAGCACUACCACUGAGUACGUUUCAGAGGAAGUAAAUAACAGUGUGCUGCAGGAAUAGCCUUUGUUGGCAUUUUAAGCAGUAAAGAUCUGCAGUGAGUGAUACGAUUGCUUGAUCAAACACAGAAUUAAGAGAUUUUUCUCCACACGUCUUAUACAUCAACAAGACAUAAUUAGCAAAGAAAUAAGCGCUACCGUUUGACCACCAAAAUUGACAGGGUUCCUCAGAAGCUUAAAGGGACAGUUUAAGUUUUUUUUUUGUUUUUUUUUUUGAAGUGGGGUUGUAUGAGUCACUUAUAAGUAUGUAUGUUGUUGUUUUUCCCCCUGCUGAGUGUACUGAUCAGCUAAUUGACUAGAUGUGUUAGUCACGAAUAAAUCAUGAAUUCUGAUAUUUUUGCAUUUAGAUUUGACAUGAUGUCAAGCUGUCAUGAUAGUUCUUGUUAGUUCAGUUUUUUUCCCGUUUUGUAAUUUAGUUUCAUUUUCUGUGUAUUUUCAUGUUUGCGUUUCUGUUUCCUGUUUUUUCUGUUUCCAUGUGUUCAUCAUUCUCAUGUUCCUGUUGUUCUUGUGUUUCACUGUUUGGGUUUUUUAGUAAUCAGUCCCUGUGUGUCAAGUCUCACCCUUGUCUGACUCACCUGCUGCUCAUUUCCCUGUGUGUUUAUAGUCCCUGGGCUCUAUUUUCGUUCGCGCCGGUGAGGCGGCGGAGGGCGGCGAGCCCCGCGCAGUUGUAUUUUCGUCUGGCGGAGCCCAGCGUAAGGCGAGUUUGGUAUUUUCGUGGACUGAGUCGCACGGAGGCGAGCCGAGAUCCGCCAAGCUGGGCGUGGUGGCGUGGCAGGGGGAGGUGUUGACAGAAUCAGCUGGCGCAGUGACAUUUUCGUGCUCGCCACCGGCGUGUAACGUGCGCUGAAAGCUCGCCGAUUCAAACCUGGUCAGCUUUCAGCGCAAGGCGGAACGCAGCUGGUCUUGUAGUAUUUUGGUAGACCGGCGUAUCGACAUACGUCACUGAUGCCUCACCGGCAGGUUUCCACAGUGUCAGGCACAUUUCAGUGCAAUAAAUAAUCAUCAACAACUAUUAAUCUGAGCCAGCACAUACAUUUAGAUCUACAUAUCGAUAUAUUCUGAUCUAUAUCUGAUCUGAUGAGCGCGUUUGGCACGCGUUUGGGCACACAACCUGACCGAAUCAAUACAGCUGAAACUGCAUCAAAUUAAAUUAAAUAUCUAGUAAAUAAACACACAUGAUGAAGUUAACAAGAUAUUUAAUGUGUCUCCCUCCUUUUCUUUCUUCCUCUUAUUUCUCGCACAGCUCGACCUGGACACGUCUCCGUGUCCUCUGUCCGUCUUGCUGCAGCUGCUGCGGCUGAACAGAUGAUUUGUUUCAGCGCUCAGAUGCGUUAUCUACUUUAAGCCGACAUACGGAUAUUAUAAUAUUCAGUUUUGUGGGCCAAAUUUAUUUUAUAUGCCAACAUCUAUGAAAGAAAGAGCCAGGCCACGGAGCGCGAUGCGUCAUUUACGCACAGAUGGUUCCGAUUUUAAUGCCAUUUUUGGAGUUUAUGUUGUGAUCUGUGCGCUAAACCCACCUUUGUCACGUGAGGUUUGAAUAUAUGCAACUUUAUGUGAGUGUCUUUUUUGUGGAAAAGGGUGUUUGUCUUACCAGUGGGUCCAACAUUACGCACACCAAAUCUAUCUGUGCUCAGAUGAGAGAGUGUGGAGGACACUUGUUGAGCAGCUGCCCUCUGUCGCCAUCGUGUGGCAUAGCUGUCUUCAGACAUCUCUUGAUCUCUUUGACUACUUCAUGAAAAUAGUAAUACGCCUCGCCGGUGGCGGAUUUAAAGGCAAGGAGAGGAGCUUAUGUGAUUGGUGAAAACAGGUCUCGGCUGUGUUAAACCCCUAUAAGCCCUCUCUCCUCCCCUUCUAUGAUUUAUGCUGCCGGGAGGAGCUGAGUUAGGGAGGGGGGAUACUUACGCCGGGCUGCGCGGCUCAACAAAAUACCAAAAUGUGCUUGGGAACGCCUUGUCAGCGCGGCGGAUCUGAUUGACUCUGCGCUUGCGGCACGUCUCCAGCGAGGCACCAAAAUAGAGCCCCCUGUCUCCCCUUUUUUCGUUGUUGGUUCAGUCUGUCAUGUUUGAAGAAAAACAAAAGGGAAGGCCCACGUGCAGAACUCAGAGAUUUAUUAAAGCAAAGACAAAAGAGAAAAGUCCUUUGAAAAUGUCGAUGCUGCCCAUGCCUUUCAACCCUAUCGCCUGUCCUUAUGGUUUCCCAGUGCCUUUUUUUUUUCAUUGGAUUUCUGCUCCUAGUGUUUUAGGUCAUUUGGAUUUGGAUUUUUGGUAUAUUUUCAUAUGGUGAAUGCAGCUCAUGGGAUCAUGAGUUGUGUCAUUUUGCAAUUAAAAAAACAAUAUGUACUGUUGUGUUGUCAGGAAAUACAAUACGAUGUGACGUGACCCUAGACCGUGUAUAGAAUGGAUGCUGUCUGUCUCCUCUCUGAGUAAAGCCACUCUGAGAACAGCACCCUCUGGUGACGGGCUGCAGUAUAGAUCAUUAAUCCCGUCUCCUCCAGCAAUCCCUAUGGAGCUGUGGACAAACUUUAGAAAUUAAUGACACAGAAUAUAGAUUUUUCUCCCCCCUGGUUGUGAUGUUGACAUGUAGUUAUUGUAAGACUGGUUUGUGCUCAAGUCCUCUUUUUUUCUGUACAGCUCCAUUUUAAAAGUUUUUAGGGGGUUCAUGUUUUCUAUGAUUGACACUUGAUACAGCCUGUGGGCGUACGAAAUUUGCGUAGCUCACCCGGAGGAUACACUGUUUGAGCUGAGCAUCAUCACAGCGACUUUUGGUCACUCUUCCACUAAAUGUGUACAACGCUAUUCUCAAGUGGUGGUUACAAGAAGUGGAGAAAAUCCUGGAAUUACCAAGAGCAAUUCAGCUUCAAAUUCGUAUAAUGACGGAGCGGAGCCAAGUUGUCCACAGUAUACACAGUAUAUGGAUAUGAUGACAUAAGUCAGAUACAAUAAUACAAGAAGAUGUGAUACUACACAAUACUACAUGAUACCAUUUGAUACUAUAUUUAUAAUAAGAUGUGAUGUAUGAUAAAAGAUGGUAACAUUCAUUAUGAUCAAUAGGAUACGACAAGAUAUAAUAGGAUUUAAUACAAUAAAUCAUGAAACAGUACAAUAUAACUGAAGAUGCUAUCAAAUAAUGUACAUUAGGAUACAAUACAAUAAAAUAUAAGAGUUAAGAUGAGAAAACUUGAUGCAAUACAGAUUGUGUGCUAGUGUUUUGUAGAUUUAUUCAUCUACUUCUUUUGGUUUUGUGAAUGUUUUGUGGAAUUGUUAUGCAAUUUGUGCUUCAACAAAUGUCUUUAGUACUGUAAGAAUUGAAGUCUUCUCUUAACAGGCUGGUUAAAAAUGAGUCCUGCAUCUCUAUCUUGUUCAACCAGAAGUUAAACAGGUAUGUGCAAUGGAAAAAGUGCACUGCUGCCUUAAGUUUUCAGACUAUGUAGUUAUGUGCUCAGCUGCAGCACAUUAAAAAUCAUGCAAACAGACCAUGGCACACAAAGAAAUGUGAUUACAUUUGCCAACAUGAACAUGUUUAAAUCAUUCAGAUCCAUUAAAAAUGACCAACAGCUUAACUCAAAGUGUGUGCUUUUGUCUUAAGGAUGAUGAACAGGUGAAAAGUUGUCUGUGAAUCUCAUCUUGAAUACCUUCUACCUCUUAGAUUUCUGCUUCAAUAAAAUUCAACAUUUGUUCUUGGAAAAUUCCUCUGCCUCUUACUCAUACAUAUUUCCCUAGAACAGAAGUUGGCUGAAUUGUAAGCUGAAGUGUGAAAUGGAAAUAAGUUAAAGUGGGAGGUCAGCGAUCAAUAGGAAGUUAAUUAAUGAAGAGUAUGCAAUGUUGUGAAGUAUGGAUUUCCGAAGGCCUAUGAUUGUGUUCCAAUCAUUGAAAUGUCACCAGCAUUACAUCUAGAAUCAAAUCAACCUGCCUUUAAUUUACCUUGAAUUUCUAAUCUCAUAAAGGGAAAUAUUUAAUAGCUUAGCCUGAAAACCAACCACUCUAACUGAAAGUAUAUUCUUUCCCGAACUUCAGGGUUGACUUGUGAGGAGAGAAAUAAAAAAGUUAAUUAAGUUGCAAUGCAUCAAACAUUGCUGUAUAAAGUUUUGAGGACUGAUAACAUUAACAGUUCCUCAAAGACAGCAUAUUCAGCUUGCGAUUCCAGUAAAAGUUGACUUUAUUUUUGAGGUUUUAAAAGAUUAAAAAAUGAAUAAAGAUGGCACCUCUUUUUUUUGAUAAAACCUAAUAGCCUUGAAUCCAUCUUUUAGGGGAAGAAGAGGUUCCCAUGUUUUAAUAAAUGCUUCAAAAUGAGUGAAAAUAAGCAAAGUAUGUUUAAUGCAACAUGUCUGACCAGUAGAGAGGACUCCAGUGGAGUCAUAAUGUGUUAAGUGAGGGCUAUGCACAUAAUGAACAUAGUUAGUAUGCAUAUUCAUUGACCCAUAUAGACUCAAAAUAUGCCCCCUGUGAAAGAUCAUUGCCAUGAGUCUAUGUCUUGUUAUUGUAUGUAGAACAUAGCUGCACCAGUGUUCAAGCUUUAAAAGUUUGUGUGAGAAAAGUUGUGCUGUGAAAGAGAACAAGGCUAAAAAAAUUAAGUUCUGAUUACAAUUACGGGACGUGACACUUAGCUGAUUUCAAAUCAGCGAGGCCAAAUUUCACAAAGCCUGUCAAUGGUGGCAGCAAGCUCGCCAGAUCCCUCCCCAAUCAAAAGUUUGCUCUAUAUAAUUUUACGCAAUCAGAUUUCUCCACAGUCAUCCAGUGCAAUCAGGUAAUCAGAGGGGAGCAUUAACAAGACAAAUGGGGUUUAAAAAGUGGGUGCACUCUGUUUGCAGGAACUUCCUAUGGAGAAGCCCCCUCCCCUCUUUGAUUACUCCUAUCACCCUCAUACAGCGCAACAUCCCCGCUAAAUAGCUUUCCUCUACAGUACAGGCUGUAUGUUCAGUUCGGGAAUGAAUGUGAUUGGCUUUACAGGUAACAGUCCACCAGUAAAUUGUUGCUUUAAGGCUAUUUAUGUCAAGUGAUUAACUGCUCAAACUAAUGGUUUCACUGAAUGAGGCGUGCUCAGUAAUGACCUCUUUCUCACCUUUCAUUAAAUGUGAAAUUCUGGGGUCCAGAUUGCACAGUCAGGGACCAUUUAUGCAGAAUGCAUUUUACCCCCAUGUAUGCAGAUGCACUGUAGCUUUUGCAGUAUGUGACUGGAUUUGUGCUGACUGCUUUCACCUUGGAUAACAAGGUGUAGCUUCACUUCAUAAGCUAAAUACACUGUACUGCAAAGUCCUACAAUUGUGUGAAUGCAAGGACUGGGCUGCAGCUAUUCUUAGAUCCCUAAGUUCACAUGUUUAGUCCUUUCUAACACUAAGAUAUCACUGGCUAGCUUAUUGCUAGAUACAAGUUUCUAAAUUGAGUUGCAGCUUUCAUUUAAAGAAUAUGUUUGAUCAGUAAAGACAACAAGCACCACUAGAUGGAAGUUCCUCUCUGUGUUGUUAUGAUAGAUUGUAAUUAAUCGUAUGGACUAUCAUACGAUUCAUUGCGAUUUAGAAUAUUAAUGGUCUGACAGCCUUGUUUUAGCCUUGAAUGUAUCCAAUUUAAUUGGAUCAGUUUAAUACCUUUAAAUUAGUAUGAUAAACUGAUCCUUUCCACUGAUGCUGAUUUUACUGACUAUCAUAGACAGUCUGUGACACUUCCUUUUCCCUUUAUCAGUUAUACUGUUGUAUCCUAUACUCCAGAUUUCUUCAUCGUAGCCUACAGUAUCUGUCUUUAAUCUCUUUGAUGUCAAUGAUUAUUCAUCUUUUAGCCUUUAGCUAUGAAAACAGUUAGCCUGCCAGGAUCUGUGAUUAAAGCUGUAUCCAUGGCAACUGUUUACUAUUAGGACAUAACAGCCCAUUGGUAUAUAGAGUAUUGACCGGUCAGAUUAACGUAUUUACCACAGCUGUGGAUCCUUUUUUAAUAUUCAUAUGUUACAUGACUAUUUAAUGUUGUUAUUAAAAACUUUUGAGCAAAGGUCACAUCAGAUAUGAUUUUUCAGUUAUAAUUUUCUUUUUCUUUCGCUUACAACACUUACGCCCUUUGCUCACCUGUGUUGUUUUCACCUGUGCCUUAAUUAUUAUACUAGUCUUAGUCUCCCUCUAUUUUCUGCUACUUGUGUGGAUGCCCAUGCAUUGUAAUCCAAAAUACAUCAAGAGUUUACUAACGUUAUACCUUGUAGUUCAUCACUGUGACAUCAUGGUGACCAUUUUUUCUAACCCUGCCACCCCACAGAGGCCUUUUCUUGUACCACACAUCUGUGUGCUCAUGUAUGCACUUAAGCUCCUAGUAUAUGCAUUUUCAUCAGGAUAAGAGAAAUAAUUUGAGCACUCAGUAAACCUAAGAAGGACUGCUUUUAACACCCUGGAGGCCAUUAAAAGCAUUUUUUUUUAUUACCAGGUACUUUAAGAUGGAAAUAGAAAAUCACCAGAAGCUAAUCAUUAGACCAUUAGCAGAGGUUCUUUCAUACAGAACAACUCCAACAGACCCUGACACCUGACUACUUUGCCUGCUAGCAAUAGCAUUAGCCAUUACAGACAGUUUUGAACUUUGAUGCAGGGUGCAUUUACAGUGCUGUAAUGUUUGGUUCAUACAUUUGUCAGUUGAUCAGAGCAUGAUAACUUUUGUCUUGGCUGUGUUUAGAAAGUGGUUACAUAUCGGUUUUAUAUUAAAGAAACAUACUAAGAAUAAGGAUAUUUAUAAGGACAUUAAGUGAUGAAAUGCACCAGUUAGGAUAGUGAAGUGGCUGCUAUUGAGUGCAAAAGAAUUUGUAUGGAUUGAUGUUUCUGUUGAAAAUAACUUAACAGAGGUUCAUAAUGUGCAUCACAGGAGUGCCCAAUGUCCCCACCGUAGCCUCACUGACUGGAGGGGUGGGCAAGUCAGUGUUUCAAUCCAGACUCAGACUGCUAGAUACGAGCUAUUUCCAUUUCUACACACUGCAGCUUUAACCUCACAAAUUACUGGCAGCUAUUUUCACUCACAAGAAAUUCAUGCCUUUAAUAAUACAUGCAAUACGUUUGCAAGAUAUAAUUCUGCAUUUGUCAGGGUAAUGUUGAAAUGAAAUAUUCUGGCUAUAAACGAGGGGAAUGUACUUGCUAAGAUUUGAGUUUUGAAGUGUAUGGAUUGGUAUUUCAAUCGCUUGUGAAUCUUUGUUGUAGUGAAAUGCAAUAACAUUACAUGAGUGCAUACAGUUAGGGAGGCUAGUUUAUAAGAUGUCUAUAUGCUGCGAAAUCUCUUAACUAUAAAAUAUGCUUUUGUCUGUUUCCCAGUAAAAUAAAUCUCCUACUUCUGUAAGAAAAAUUGUCAUAAUUGUAAUGUGGCUCGAUCAAUCUCAAAGUCUAAAUAAAUGUCUUGUUUCAAGCCAAAAAUAAGACCUGGUUUGCUUCUAAUGAGAACAAUUUUGCCAGUGAGGUUAGAAUAUAUUUACUUUUCUGGUUUAUUGAAUCAAGGAGGCCUCCAGGUGCCAAGUCAAAGACAGAAAAGGCCAUGUGCAAAACUAUACACAUGGGUUGAACAUCUGUACCCAAGGUGUGUAAUCCACUUGCUGGUCUGAAUCAUGGGUACAGACCUCAACACACAAUCAAACUCAAAGAAUUCCCAAAUGCAUAACAUACUACAGUAUGCUACCUUGGGUUAAUUACAGAUAAAUGCAGCUAACUAGGUAGAUGUGGUCUGACAAUGGGCUGUAUAUAGAAUGGAUGCCAUCUGCCUCCUCGCUGGGUGAAGUCGAGAACAGCACCCUCUGGUGACAGGCUGCAGUAUAGGUCAUAAAUCCCACCUCCUCCAGCAAUCUCUAUGGAACUGUGGACAAACUUUAGAAAUUUAUUACACAGAAUAUACAUUUUACAUCCCCCGGUUGCAAUGUUGACAUGUAGUUACUGUAAGACUGGUUUGUGCUCAAGUCCUCUUUUUUCUGUACAGCUCCAUUUUUAAAAAUUAUUAGUGGGUUCAUGUUUUCUAUGAUUGACACUUUAUACAGCCUAUGAAGUUUAUGUAGCUCACCCGGGGGAUAGGCUGUUUAAGGCUGAGCAUCAUCACAGCAACUCUCCCGCUGAAUGCGUACAACGCUACUAUGCCAGUGGUGGUUCAAGGAAGUGGAGAAAAUCCUGGAAAUACCGCAGGCAAUCAAACGUCAAAAGUCUCAAAUUCAUAUAAUGGCGGAAGGCGUUAUACAUUAGCUGAGUUUUGAGUUUCUGCAGUGUUGAGGUCACAUGGGGCCUCAUGUAUCAACGCUUGCGGCGCAAGAAAACCUUGCGUACGCCAAAAUCGGCGCACACGUCCAGAUUUAUCAUCGCGAAACGAGCGUCGGUUCCAGCGCUAAUCAACGCAAAGUCAGGAGGUGGUGUAGAAAUUGGCGUUGAGCUGGAUAUUUGCGUUGACUGUGAUUCGCACUUUGGCGAUGCUGUGUGGCGGUGUUUGGUGACUCACUAUGUGACAAGCGUGCACCACAUCCCCGUGGCCGGGCAGCACGUCGCCCCACAUGACGAACCAGCAGCAGACGGAGGGAUGCGAGCUGAUCCCUGCCGGGCCGCCGUCCUCGCGCGGGAGAAUCUCAUCGCCACAGUGUGAAUGGGUAAGAAGUGAAUACACAGUUCAAUGAGCCAAAUUAAUUUAUGUUCUCCACCAGACGCUCGAGGAAAUUUACGAGCCGGUCCAGCCGCUCGUUGAUCCCCGCGAUCCCCCUGAUGAUUUCUUCCUGCGAUUGCAGGACCCCCUCCGCGAGGACCCUUCCACUGCGUCCGGGUGGUCCAGCGGAAGCGCCGCGGCUGGUGGACGCUCCACCGCUUGUCGGCGCGCUGGUGCUGAUGCUGGUGCUGGUGCUGGGGCCGGGGUGGCCCGAAUGCCGCUGGUCCUGGCCGACGACUCCGAGCCGGCGGACGGGCUGCCGCGGGCCGGGGUUCCGCAAGCCGGCGACACGGCCGACACAUUAAUUUCUGUGACACAAUAAAAAUAUUAGUUCAUUUCAAUUCCUGCUUCUGUGUAUCUGUUGCGUUUACAUCUCUCUCCACGGUAUCAUAGGUAAUGUAAUCCAGUAUUUCGAGGUCAGUUAUGCACAUUUCAGUUGUUUAUUGCAUAAAAAGUUAUUGAAAAAUGAAGUUAAGGGCGAAGUAUAAAUCACGUCUAAAAAUAGACUGAAUCCCGACGUUGAAAUGAAGUAUAAACUUAGACUAGACGUCUAAUAUACGUCUUUUGCUCAGUGGGAUGACAAAGCAUGUGGACAUUUGUGUGACACGCCACUUACCCUAUAAUAAUAAUCGCCACCACCCGCUGCUCAAACGGUGUGAGGGUCUCCUCCCCCGGACCCCCACCUGUCUGGCCGGUACUCCUCCGGAGGGCAGCUGUACGCCGCUUGACCUCCACCUUGAGGUCCGACCACUUUUUUUAAUCUCCGCGGGGGUGCGUGUCUCGGAACCCACCGCAUUCACCCUCUCGCAAACUUUCUCCCACUCCAAGCGUUUUUGUUUUGCACUGACGCCACUGGACAGGCUGCCAAACAAAACACGCUGUCGCUCCUCCACCUCCGCCACCAGCACCUCCACCUCGCACGCCGUAAAUGUAGUUUUUCUUGUCAUUUUGUCUGCGUGCGAGGACAGGGAGACCCUAUUUAAAUAAAUCUGCAUAUUUAUAGGAGGGCGUAACGGGGACGGGCCCAGUCACUCCGACAUCUGCGCUCAAUUCCACGCUGAUUGGGAUUUAUCAAGGAAACACACGUGGAUUUCGGCGCCCGCACACAUUGAUACAUACGGAUUUUUUUCAGCGUGACGGACCUUGCGUGCGCUCGUUUCUGGUAUGAGUUCCACGCAAGUGUUGAUACAUGAGGCCCCUGGUCUUUGUGCUAUGCUAUCCUUGAAUCUCUAUCUAGAAAGUACAUGCCUGCUUAAAUGAUCCCUUUAACAACAUAGAGGGUCAUUAAAAUUGCUGUUUGGCUAUAACAAUCAUUGGUAGGACUGCAACUUAAAGGUUAUCCUGCACAUGCUGGUUGAUAAGUUCAGCAGUGCUGGAAUUUUGUCCUCUUUCUCUACACUUGACUUUUACUUUAUCACUUAUUGUGAUAAACUCCGGCAAAUGCAAGAGACUGACCUCUUCAGACACUUAUCCAGUCCUUCUAGCAAAUUUCCUUGGCUUGGAAAUAAUUAGGGAAGACGAUGUGAGGACGACAAAGAGACAACAGGAAAAUGAAAUGGGCCCUCUCUCUCCAGCCCUGAGGGUCUUUGCCAGUCUUUGCAGCAAUUCUAAUUAAGCCCAUCCAGAAACAGAGGAGCUGGAUUGAGGCAGUUUCUCAUCAGGGUCCCUCCAUGAGCCUCCUUUGUCAUGAACACACAGCCAAUUACAAAGCCCAACAAUAGAGUGGUGGAGUCUUAUACCCUCCACAAAGAAGGGAGACUAUGGAGACCUCAAAAUAUCCAUAAGCGUGGAAUGACUUUGCGAAAACACUCUCACCUCCCUGAGAAGUGAAAUCAAAUAUGCAUUCUCUUUUUGUGUGGCCUAAAUUGCCUGACAUUACAAUUAAAAUGAGCUCACAGGUUCAAUUAACUGAAGUGUACACACUUAAACCAUUUUACGUUUCCAGGGGAACACCACUAAUCCAGUCAUAGAGCAUUUUUAAAAAGAAGUGCUUUCCGUUAAUUAAAAUGAAAUAUAUUUGAGUGUAAAAUGAAUCUGAACAACUCCUACUUCAUAUCAAGACAAGCCAAAGAUAACUUCACAUGCUUAUCAUCUUUGCAUAUUAGUCUUGGCGAAUAACAUGAGUGGCUGCAUAAUCUUUGAGCUUGCCAGACCUUAGAUUAUGGAGCUGUCUCUCAUUUUAUUCAUCGCUCACUGAGAGUAAUUACCCAGAGAUAAGUGUUCCUCUAUCAGGGUCCAGUCACUGCUCUGCGAAUGCAAUCUCCUCAGACACGGGUCCCGUCCCAGGCUAUUUGGGCGACACAGAGUGGGAAGUGGGUGCUGCAGGACGCUGGCUGAGCUUUGUGGUUGCCUGCGUUCGGAUGAGGCCUUCUGACAGUCAUGGCCAGGUGGGCCAAUCUUUCAAUCAGACACCCUAUUUACCAUUGCAAAGCUCUGCUGCUCUGCCUCAUUUAUAGCCGCUUAGGUUGCUUGUGAUGAAAGGCAGAUAACAGUGUACAUUCACCUUCCACCCCUCUCCUCUCAUGGAGCGAAAACACAUCCCCUGGGGAACCUUGGACUAUUAUUUUUUGUGUCACAUCAGGAAUGAAUGCUUCAUCGGAUUUGUAGAAAAAUCAGACGACGUGUCAGAAAGUGCAAUUAGUCAGUGAAAGAGCGAUUUAUUUUCUGAUGGGGAUAAGUGAGGCAAGAUUAAUGCUUCUAAGAAAAAUCAAUGAGUGGAAGAAAAACAUGCUCUUUUGUGUUGUGCCUUCACACGGAAAUAGACGUAAAGCAAGAAAACAAUAAUCCUCACCACACUGAGGGGCACAAAGACUAUGAGGAUGAAAUUUCAAGAACUGGGUGCCCAAAGCUUCCUGAUAGAAUGAAAUUCUUUAUACGGGGAGAUAAAUACAGUAUAUAAAGAAGAACCCUACAAAGAAAUGCACAACAACCAUGCAGUCUUUAUCUGGAAACAACAGCAAGGGUAGAUUAGAGGUUUUAUAAAAUUCAUUAACCAAUUAGUUUGUUGUAUGUGAAUGAGUGAAAUGCAUUUGGUAGUUGUAGGUGUUAGCUCUUCUCUGGGCCUCAUGACUUGCAGGCCUGGAUUUUGGUGUCAGUAAUGUUCUGCUUUGCACUUGUGUCUAGUGAUGCACCACAACUCUGCAUCAAUUCACAGGAAAAAAAACAGCUAAGUUUGAAAGGUUAGUUUCAUUCUGCCCAUAAAAACACAUUCCUUGGUGACUUGAUGAGGUUUUGCUUCUUUAAUUGCUUGAAACAAUAAGUUGGGUACAGCUGCAGCCUUGGAGUCUCUCAUCCCAAACCUGAAACAUUUCAACAUUUAGCCAUAUUUAUAGUUUGUAGAUUUCUAGCUGUCAGUGUUGUUUCUUUGGUGUAUAAAAGCAGCAGACAUAUUUUAAAGUUUGUUUUCAGUGGUAUGAAUGAUUGCCUUUGCUGAUAAGUGACCCCAACAAAAAUAAUUUUGCGGACGAGACUAAAGCUUUUAUUUUGAAAUUAACAAGCUCAGGCGGUGCAACUUUAGGGCAUCAGGCAUAGAGAUGGGCGGCUCUGAAAACUGAUAGAAACAAUGCACUAGAUAACAGACCUUAUCCGGGACCAGCACCGGUUUGACCUAGAGGUCAGAGCUUAUGUGUAUACUCUAUAGUCUUCAAGCUGGCAGCAAGGGUUCGAUUCUGCCUGUGGCCCUUUACACCAUCACUCUCCACUCUCUUCUAGUGUCACGCUCUAUGCUCUGUCCUAUUCUCUCUGAAUGAACUAUGAAAAGUUUGAAAAUAACUUGGUAUAACUAAGGAUAUCAGCAAUUGGUGGAGGAAACUGCUAUUGUAGGACACAACAAUGUCAAAUGAAUCUGAACAACUCCUACUUCAUAUCAAGACAAGCCAAAGAUAACUUCACAUGCUUAUCAUCUUUGCAUAUUAGUCUUGGCGAAUAACAUGAGUGGCUGCCUCAUUUAUAGGAUAUCAGGAUAUAGGAUAUCAGCAAUUGGUGGAGGAAACUGCUAUUGUAGGACACAACAGUGUCAGAAAACUAAGGAAAAAAACAGGUGUAGCAGAGAUGACCACUUUCUCAUCCCAACCGCCAAAGGAAUUUAAGGCUUACAUCUGGUCACCGGAGAUGAGAUGGUGUAAACCUUUAACACCAAAUCACAAUCUUUUUACAAUCUCCUGUCUCUAUACAAGACAAACAUAGAAGCCUUCUCAAAGGGACAAACUUUCUAUCCUUUCCACUUCAAAGAGACAAAGACAGGAUACUUUAUGACCAGCAGGAAAGAACUGCAGGACCACUCGAUCAGAAAAAGCUCUGUCAUCACACCUAAACUGGGAAGCAUUGUGUUUAUCAGCUCAGCCAUAAAUCCUAACAUUGGUGGAUCAUACCUAUGUUCUCUGUGAGUACAAUCCAAGGAGAAUAACUACAACUAGUCUAAGUACAGAUUGGAUGGACACUGCACAACGAUCAUCCGUCAGUACUCAACAUGUGCAGUAAAACAGUCUUUGUCCCAUUUGUCUAUCAUAAUCAUAAGCCAAGAUCUCACACUGACAGAUGAAAUCCUUCAGUCUAAAAGUUCCUUUAGGUCAACAGCUUUCCAAACAGUUUCAUGAACUUUUGAGAGCUGAAGUUAUUAUGUUUGAAUUAUUACCUUAUUCUAGAAGAAAAAGAGUAGAAAUGUUUAGUUUAUAUCUGAUUCAUUUGUUUAGCUUUGUUACCCAUUAGGUAGUUAUACUGUUAGUUAAUAAUCUGAACGUUGGUUUGUAGAAUCCAUUAUUAAUUGUCACGCUUCUCAAACACGUGUAAAUGAACUUUUUAUUUACAUGUGUUUACCCUUGUGUUAUUCAAUGUUUAUAUGUGUUACUAUCUGUUUCAUUUCAGAGUAAUUCAACAUAAUCAAGCCUCUGAACGCCACCCAGCAGGCCCAAAGUCAUCCUCUGUGCCAGAGUUGUGCAGUGAGACCAAAGGAGCGUCCAAAGGACAGAUAAGGCGCUGGUUUUUGCAUCUAGGCCUGUGUGCUGUGACUCCUGGCCUGUCUUUUUCAGGGCCAAACCUCUCAAACCACCGGCAGCCCGUACCUUCGGAACGUCCUCCAUCCUCUCCAAGGGCCAGCAUCACAUAAGUAUGCAAACCUCCAGAGCUCCAAACAGGGCUGAUGCUGUCUCAUGCAUUCAUAACUCAAAUAUUCACUUAUUCGAGUAAUCCAAGGUUUAUCCAAAUCCACAUCCAAAUUUGUCUCUACACCAAAGUUAAUCUAGGUUAAUAUGUUAGAGCAUAUUCACUCAUUAUCAUUAACUUUAGUAAUCAUAGCCUGACUCAGAAUCCUUAUUC
Xyrichtys novacula (pearly razorfish) is the source of this 27194-nucleotide non-coding RNA. The record is from the annotation of a GenBank genome assembly. NCBI's taxonomy places the organism in Eukaryota, Metazoa, Chordata, Actinopteri, Labriformes, Labridae.